AAGCUUACCAAGGGAUAUCAAACUCCGAAUGCCGCAUAAAUGAUGUACGGGAGUCAGACUGCACGAGAUAAGUUGGGCAGUCAAAAGGGAAAGAGCCCAGACCUGCAGCUAAGGUCCCAAAGUGCGUGUUAAGUGGAAAAGGAUGUGGGAUUUCAAAGACAACCAGGAUGUUGGCUCAGAAGCAGCCACACAUUCAAAGAGUGCGUAAUAGCUCACUGGUCGAGAGGUCCUGCGCCGAAAAUGUCCGGGGCUGAAACGCGCCACCGAAACUAAGGAAUGUAGUGAUACAUUGGUAGAGGAGCAUUGCAUGCGGGGCGAAGCAGUACCGUAAGGAGCUGUGGACUGCAUGGAAGAGAGAAUGCCGGAAUGAGUAGCGAGAUAGAGGUGGGAAUCCUCUAGGCCGAAUAUCCAAGGUUUCCAGGGUAAAGCUGAUCUGCCCUGGGUAAGUCGGGGCCUAAGGCGAGGACGAGAGUCGUAGCCGAUGGACAACAGGUGGAGAUUCCUGUACUGCGGUAUGACAGAACUGUGGGGACACGUGCAGAGAGCGGAAGCCGGGAACGGAAAGCCCGGUGCAAGUGAGGUACCAGUCACAUUGGCAAAUCCGUGUGGCAAUGGGAAGACACGAUGCGGACCGAAUUAAAGUAGGGAAGUCCGUGAGCUGUGCGUCAAGAAAAGCCGCUAUUGUUUAUACCGUACCCGUACCGUAAACCGACACAGGUGGAUGAGGAGAGAAUCCUAAGGCCGGCGGGAGAAGCAUUGUUAAGGAACUCGGCAAAAUGACCCCGUAACUUCGGGAGAAGGGGUGCCACAGAGAUGUGGCCGCAGAGAAUAGGCUCAAGCAACUGUUUAGCAAAAACACAGGUCUAUGCAAAACCGAAAGGUGAGGUAUAUGGGCUGACGCCUGCCCGGUGCUGGAAGGUUAAGAGGAGAGGUUAGCGCAAGCGAAGCUUUGAAUUGAAGCCCCAGUAAACGGCGGCCGUAACUAUAACGGUCCUAAGGUAGCGAAAUUCCUUGUCGGGUAAGUUCCGACCCGCACGAAAGGCGUAAUGAUUUGAGCGCUGUCUCGACAAUGCAUCCGGUGAAAUUGAAGUACCAGUGAAGAUGCUGGUUACCUGCGCCAGGACGGAAAGACCCCAUGGAGCUUUACUCCAGCUUGAUACUGGGAUUCGGUAUUGCAUGUACAGGAUAGGUGGGAGGCUAAGAAGCAUGGACGCCAGUCUAUGUGGAGCCAAUGUUGGGAUACCACCCUUGCGAUAUUGGGUUUCUAACCUGCAGCCGUGACCCGGCUGGGGGACAAUGUCAGGUGGGGAGUUUGACUGGGGCGGUCGCCUCCGAAAGGGUAUCGGAGGCGCUCAAAGGUUCCCUCAGAAUGGUUGGAAACCAUUCGAAGAGUGCAAAGGCAGAAGGGAGCUUGACUGCGACACCGACGGGUGGAGCAGGUACGAAAGUAGGACUUAGUGAUCCGGUGGUAUGAAAGUGGGAUUGCCAUCGCUCAACGGAUAAAAGCUACCCUGGGGAUAACAGGCUUAUCACUCCCAAGAGUUCACAUCGACGGAGUGGUUUGGCACCUCGAUGUCGGCUCAUCGCAUCCUGGGGCUGAAGUAGGUCCCAAGGGUUGGGCUGUUCGCCCAUUAAAGCGGUACGCGAGCUGGGUUCAGAACGUCGUGAGACAGUUCGGUCCCUAUCCGGCGCGGGCGUAGGAUAUUUGAGAGGAGCUGUCCUUAGUACGAGAGGACCGGGAUGGACUGACCUCUGGUGUAUCUGUUGGGUAUCAAACCCAUGGCAGAGUAGCCAAGUCGGGACGGGAUAAACGCUGAAGGCAUCUAAGCGUGAAGCCCCCCUCAAGAUGAGAUAUCCCAUCGCAAGAGUAAGACCCCUUGA
Molecule: ribosomal RNA, 1881 nt
Filed under: human gut metagenome
Description: bacterial LSU rRNA
Rfam family: Bacterial large subunit ribosomal RNA
Source: RNAcentral